GAUGAACGCUGGCGGCGUGCUUAACACAUGCAAGUCGAACGAAGCACUUUAUUUGAUUUCCUUCGGGACUGAUUAUUUUGUGACUGAGUGGCGGACGGGUGAGUAACGCGUGGGUAACCUGCCUUGUACAGGGGGAUAACAGUUGGAAACGGCUGCUAAUACCGCAUAAGCGCACGGCAUCGCAUGAUGCAGUGUGAAAAACUCCGGUGGUAUAAGAUGGACCCGCGUUGGAUUAGCUAGUUGGUGAGGUAACGGCCCACCAAGGCGACGAUCCAUAGCCGACCGGAGAGCAGGACACGUCAGAUUGGCAAUGAGGCACAGCCAACCAUCCUACGGGAGGCGGCGGAGGGGAAUAUUGCACAACGGGCUAGAGACUGAUGCAGGCGCGCUGCGAGAGCGGAGAAGUAGUUCGGUAGGUAACUCUCUCUUAGCAGCGAAGAUAAUGACGGUACCUUACGAAGAAGCACCGGCUAAAUACGUG
RNAcentral lists this ribosomal RNA (481 nucleotides) under uncultured bacterium. Its description in RNAcentral is "partial 16S ribosomal RNA". It matches the Rfam family "Bacterial small subunit ribosomal RNA", at positions 28 to 507 of the family's 1533-position model. The record is from RNAcentral.